RNAcentral lists this long non-coding RNA (494 nucleotides) under Musa acuminata (dwarf banana). RNAcentral describes it as "long non-coding RNA (MACU_LNC007630)". The record is from RNAcentral. Lineage: Eukaryota; Viridiplantae; Streptophyta; Magnoliopsida; Zingiberales; Musaceae.
GCUAAUCUAUUGGAGUUCUGGAUCUGGCAAUUCCAUAAGUUUGUCUUGUAGCCUUGGCGGUCAUUAUACUAAGCUUGGUGGACUCGGUAUUGACUUGUAUUAACUCGAACUAGCAGCCCUGACGCUUGGAACUCGCUACCUAGCAACAUUAUACUAAGCUUGCAAUUACUUAAGGGUGGGGGCAACUCGGGAAGAAAAUGCAGGACUUGUUCUUAACGCAAACACUAAUAGGUAUACUAGGGUCUCUUUACUAAUAGGUAUACUAGGGUCUCUGACCUAGCUUCAAAGCCAAUACAUGAUUAUGCCCGAACAAUAUUCUCUUUACCGACAACUAAGGGAAAGCCAAUAAAAGAAGCGUCUCUAUCUUCGCCAACUAAGAUAGAAUCACUUACCGUUGAGGAAGAGAAGCACCGAGGCAUAGAUCUAUAGACCAGAAAGAAUAGAAACUUGAAUCCAAAAACUCAUUGUUCCCCGCCGUUGCGCAAGGGAAGGAA